Molecule: ribosomal RNA, 433 nt
Filed under: uncultured bacterium
Lineage: Bacteria
Description: partial 16S ribosomal RNA
Rfam family: Bacterial small subunit ribosomal RNA
Source: RNAcentral
AACGAACGCUGGCGGCAGGCCUAACACAUGCAAGUCGAGCGAGGACUUCGGUCCUAGCGGCGGACGGGGGUGUAACGCGUGGGAACGUGCCCUUUGCUUCGGAAUAGCCCUGGGAAACUGGGAGUAAUACCGGAUGAGCCCUUUGGGGGAAAGAUUUAUCGGCGAAGGAUCGGCCCGCGUUGGAUUAGGUAGUUGGUGGGGUAAUGGCCUACUAAGCCGACGAUUCAUAGCUGGGUUGAGAGGAUGAUCAGCCACACUGGGACUGAGACACGGCCCAGACUCCUACGGGAGGCAGCAGUGGGGAAUCUUAGACAAUGGGGGAAACCCUGAUCGAGCCAUGCCGCGUGAGCGAUGAAGUCCGUAGGGAUGUAAAGCGCUUUCAGCUGGGAAGAUAAUGACGGUACCAGCAGAAGAAGCCCCGGCUAACUCCGUG